UGGGGAAUCUUCCGCAAUGGACGAAAGUCUGACGGAGCAACGCCGCGUGAGUGAAGAAGGUUUUCGGAUCGUAAAACUCUGUCUUUUGGGGGCGAACGUGAGUAUGGUGAACAAUCAUAGUCAGUGACGGUACCAAAGGAGGAAGCCACGGCUAACUACGUGCCAGCAGCCGCGGUAAUACGUAGGUGGCAAGCGUUGUCCGGAAUUAUUGGGCGUAAAGAGCGCGUAGGCGGGAUAGUCAGUCUGUUGUAAAAGUGCGGGGCUCAACCCCGUGAUCGCAAUGGAAACAGCUAUUCUUGAGUGCAGGAGAGGAAAGUGGAAUUCCCAGUGUAGCGGUGAAAUGCGUAGAUAUUGGGAGGAACACCAGUGGCGAAGGCGACUUUCUGGACUGUGUCUGACGCUGAGGCGCGAAAGCCAGGGGAGCGAACGGGAUUAGAUACCCCGGUAGUCCUGGCCGUAAACGAUGGGUACUAGGUGUGGGAGGUAUCGACCCCUUCCGUGCCGGAGUUAACGCAAUAAGUACCCCGCCUGGGGAGUACGGUCGCAAGACUGAAACUUAAAUGAAUUGACGGGGGUCAUAGCUGUUUCCUG
This 591-nucleotide ribosomal RNA is filed under the name uncultured bacterium. Its description in RNAcentral is "partial 16S ribosomal RNA". It matches the Rfam family "Bacterial small subunit ribosomal RNA", at positions 355 to 941 of the family's 1533-position model. The record is from RNAcentral.